RNAcentral lists this long non-coding RNA (419 nucleotides) under Heterocephalus glaber (naked mole-rat). RNAcentral's name for it is "lncRNA (ENSHGLG00100051932.1)". The record is from RNAcentral. Lineage: Eukaryota; Metazoa; Chordata; Mammalia; Rodentia; Bathyergidae.
CCAGCAGGACACAGGCUGGCCUGAGGAAGACUGGAAGAAUAAACCAUUUUGUGCUGUGUGUGGAACACCUUUGUACAAGGCAGCCUUUGGCCGCUGUCUGAUGCACUGUUUAUCGUUGUGGGUCUCAGGAAAAGAAGUUUAUCAUGGUUACAACCCUUCUGUGAAACAGCUAUGAAGGAAUGUUGCCAUUGGAGGUUGUCAAAGACCCUUGGAUCUUCCAGGUGACCUGAAGCACAGUUUUGGAUCUCUCAUUUUGCUCUGAUCUGCUAUCUGUAACUCAGUGGCCAGCUCUGUGUCAUCUUCCCCUCAAGAGAGGUGACAGGUGAAUCUCGAGCUUAAAACAAUAGCAUACAUUUCCCGUACAAGACUUUGUUGCUAAUAGAGCUAGACAAUCUGGCCUGAGGCAAAAUAGACGUGCA